UCAAUCACUCACAUACUAGCAUCGGUUUAUGCGCCACCCAGUUGAAUUGUAUUCUUUUACCCGCCGUCCCGAAGCUCAGAAAAAAUAAAAAAGCGCCUGCCGCGAGGAAAAAAUUGUUUCUCGCGCCUGAUCGGUGAGCCCCGGCAAAAUUCCCGGCGGGCACAAAUGGACCGCUCCGUAGGGGGAAAUGCGGAGGGAUCAUUACCGAGUUUACAACUCCCAAACCCAAUGUGAACGUUACCAAUCUGUUGCCUCGGCGGGAUUCUCUGCCCCGGGCGCGUCGCAGCCCCGGAUCCCAUGGCGCCCGCCGGAGGACCAACUCAAACUCUUUUUUCUCUCCGUCGCGGCCUACGUCGCGGCUCUGUUUUAUUUUUGCUCUGAGCCUUUCUCGGCGACCCUAGCGGGCGUCUCGAAAAUGAAUCAAAACUUUCAACAACGGAUCUCUUGGUUCUGGCAUCGAUGAAGAACGCAGCGAAAUGCGAUAAGUAAUGUGAAUUGCAGAAUUCAGUGAAUCAUCGAAUCUUUGAACGCACAUUGCGCCCGCCAGUAUUCUGGCGGGCAUGCCUGUCCGAGCGUCAUUUCAACCCUCGAACCCCUCCGGGGGGUCGGCGUUUGGGGAUCGGCCCCUCACCGGGCCGCCCCCGAAAUACAGUGGCGGUCUCGCCGCAGCCUCUCCUGCGCAGUAGUUUGCACACUCGCACCGGGAGCGCGGCGCGGCCACAGCCGUAAAACACCCCAAACUCUGAAAUGUUGACCUCGGAUCAGGUAGGAAUACCCGCUGAACUUAAGCAUAUCAAAA
Molecule: ribosomal RNA, 799 nt
Filed under: Trichoderma citrinoviride
Lineage: Eukaryota; Fungi; Ascomycota; Sordariomycetes; Hypocreales; Hypocreaceae
Description: eukaryotic LSU rRNA
Rfam family: 5.8S ribosomal RNA (bases 425-578)
Source: RNAcentral